Long non-coding RNA from Poecilia latipinna (sailfin molly), 1197 nucleotides. RefSeq lists it as uncharacterized. Lineage: Eukaryota; Metazoa; Chordata; Actinopteri; Cyprinodontiformes; Poeciliidae. The transcript is spliced from 5 exons. The record is from RefSeq and is a predicted model, not a curated record.
AUAUAUAUAUAUAUAUAUAUAUAUAUAUAAAACAACAACAAUAAGUAUGUACAGACGGGAAAGCGACGUCAAAUAGAUUAAAACAAAAGCUGACCUCUGACCUAAAGUGCAGGCCUCAUUUUACUUUGCAUUUGUCUCCUAAGUCGACAAACAAAAAAAAAAACAAACAAAAAAAAAAGCCACCGUAUUUGUAAUAAAACGUGAAAAUAACGGUGUGGAAAAGUGAUUUAUGGUAAAACAACAACAAUAAAGGGGGUGAGGCGUGAUUAUGACUUUAUGUUUUUUGCGUAUAGAUGUCUUUGUGCUCGGCGCUCAGAGGCAGCGUCGUCCAGGUUGUGUCUCGGCUGAAGGUCACGGAGUUUCCUUCCUCUCCCCGUCGAUGUGUCCUCCUGACUCCGCGAGGCCUCCGGUGAAACAUUCAGCACCACCAACACGACUGUCCCGUCUUUGUUUGUCUUACAGAAGAAGAAGAAGAAAGAAAGAAAAGGCACGGCUCGUCACGGAAGCGAGGCGACUCGAGUGGACUUUUACUGCUGAGCUCCGGACGGAGAGAAAAAGGCGACCAGGCGGUUUGGAGGUUUGCACCGAGGACAGACUGGCAGAGAGAGACCCCACUUCACUCCCAAUAAGUGGCCUGAGAGGAGACGGGAAACCCUGGCCAAAUGAAACCUGGACGACGACGACGUCUCCUGCCUUCAGCUCCACGUUCCCACGACUGUUCCUUCUGCUCGCUCUCGUUCUUCAAAAGCUGCUUCGUUCGUCUUCUCUACAACUCGUACGUCUCCGUCCACUCGUGAUCGUCCCCAGUCUUCCAGUAGAAUCAAGAAUACAACUACACAACCCCAAAAGAGUCCCGAGUAUGUGACCCGGCUCAGAUUGCGGUCCAACACAGGGAGUAAGGGGCAAUGACUUCUAGCGGACGGAAACGACGAAGCGGAAGGCGAACCGGAAGAGAAAGGUCAAAGGUCGUUUGGUGUGAGGAAGCCUCGGUAUGGAGAGGCAGGUGAUGCUCCUCUGACGGUCAGCGCCUUGCAGGACGACCCACAGCCCGUCACUUACCUGCACAUUGAGUCACUUUGCAACAACCUCCAUUUUCCUGUGUGUGUUUGUGGCAGACCAACAUAAAGUGGAGCAUAACUGUGGAAGGAAGAGAAAUUCUGCAAAUAAAACAUGAAUUUGUUUUUAACCUGGUCUAAA